RNAcentral lists this ribosomal RNA (440 nucleotides) under uncultured bacterium. RNAcentral describes it as "partial 16S ribosomal RNA". It matches the Rfam family "Bacterial small subunit ribosomal RNA", at positions 338 to 795 of the family's 1533-position model. The record is from RNAcentral.
CCUACGGGAGGCAGCAGUGGGGAAUAUUGCACAAUGGGGGCAACCCUGAUGCAGCGACGCAGCGUGAGUGAAGAAGUAUUUCUGUAUGUAAAGCUCUAUCAGUAGGGAAGAAAAUGACGGUAUCUAAUUUAGAAGCCCCGGCUAACUACGUGCCAGCAGCCGCGGUACUACGUAGGGGGCAAGCGUUAUCCGGAUUUACUGGGCGUAAUGGGAGCGUAGACGGCAGCACAAGUCUGGAGUGAAAUGCCGGGGCUUAACCCCGGAACUGCUUUGGAGACUGUGCAGCUAGAGUGCAGGAGAGGUAAGUGGAAUUCCUAGUGUAGCGGUGAAAUGCGUAGAUAUUAGGAGGAACACCAGUGGCGAAGGCGGCUUACUGGACUGUAACUGACGUUGAGGCUCGAAAGCGUGGGGAGCAAACAGGAUUAGAUACCCUUGUAGUC